GGAGAGAUGUCAGAGUGGCCGAAUGAGCACGCUUGGAAAGUGUGUGUACCUUACGGUACCGUGGGUUCGAAUCCCACUCUCUCCGCCA
Molecule: transfer RNA, 88 nt
Filed under: Cycloclasticus sp.
Lineage: Bacteria; Pseudomonadati; Pseudomonadota; Gammaproteobacteria; Thiotrichales; Piscirickettsiaceae
Also listed under: 1 other name
Description: tRNA-Ser
Rfam family: tRNA
About the family: Transfer RNA (tRNA) molecules are approximately 80 nucleotides in length. Their secondary structure includes four short double-helical elements and three loops (D, anti-codon, and T loops).
Source: RNAcentral